Molecule: long non-coding RNA, 7329 nt
Filed under: Homo sapiens (human)
Lineage: Eukaryota; Metazoa; Chordata; Mammalia; Primates; Hominidae
Description: HSALNT0190470
Source: RNAcentral
CAAAAAAUGAAUUAAUCAAAGUAACUGCUGAACAUAUCAUUUGGCUAUAUACCGUUAGUUGAGUAGCACGGAAACAAUGCAAACAAACCCUGACCUCUUUUUAGAAGGUUUGUGUGUUGUAGUUGUACAGGUGAAGCAAUCUGAAAUUAGUUUUAAGUGUAUGGUAGAGUUGAGUAAAUAAAUACGUUGAGGUAAUUGUUGAGCCUUCUUCCAUGUAUUCCAUACAGAUAUCGAAUGGGGCAAAGCAAGAAAAGAGGACUCUGUGGGAGUGCAUUGGAAUUAGAGGUAAGAAAAUGAUAUUUACACCUUGCAUGGAAUAGAGAAUUUACUAAAUGGAAAAAGACAACUCAUUGGAUAGCCUGCACACUCCCACAGACUGACCAAAACAUUAAUACCCUGCCUGCAGGUAAUGACCUGAUUCUCUUAAAAAAAGCUGCAAAUACCUGAUAUCUGUUCUGACCUCUGUAGUGUCAUAAGGAAGGCUGAAUGUAUUAAAUCUCUACCAAGCUGUCUGGUUUCCAAAACUGUUGUGAGAACCUAAGAAAGUAAGUUUUCCUACCACAGCAUCCAGAAAUUUAGAAUAUAGUUGACACUGAAUUUUCUGACUGUAUACAGUUGUCCCUUGAACAACAGGGGUUAGAACUGCACAGAUCCACUUACAUGCAGAUAUUUUUCACUACAAUUUACACUGAGUGUGCCUGACCCCUCUUGCCUCACUUUCACCUCCUCCACCUCUUCAGUCUCUACAACCUCCGAGACAGCAAGACCAACCCCUCCUCUUCCUCCUCUGCCAACUCAGUGUGAAGAUGAGGAUGAAGACCUUUAUGAUGAUCCACUUCCACUUAAGGAAUAGUAAAUAUAUCUCCUUUCUAUGAUUUUCUUAAUAACUUUUUCUCUAGCUUGAUUUAUUAGAAUACAGAAUGUAAUACAUGUAACAUACAGAAUAUGUGUGAAUUGACUGUUUAUGUUACAGGUAAGGCUUCUGAUCAACAGCAGGCUAUUAGCAGUUAAGUUUUAGGAAGUGAAAAGUUAUAUGCAUGUUUUGGACCACGCAGGAGUUGGUUCCCCAACCACUGUGUUGUUCAAGAGUCAACUGUAAUACUAGUGGUUCACUUGGACUGAGUAAUAAGAAAUCCCUCUCCCUCUCCCUCUCCCCCUCCCCCUCCCCCUCCCUCUCCCUCUCCCUUUCCCUCUCCCCACGGUCUCCCUCUCCCUCUCUUUCCACGGUCUCCCUCUGAUGCCGAGCGGAAGCUGGACUGUGCUGCCGCCAUCUCGGCUCACUGCAACCUCCCUGCCUGAUUCUCCUGCCUCAGCCUGCGGAGUGCCUGCGAUUGCAGGCGCGCGCCGCCACGCCUGACUGGUUUUCGUAUUUUUUUGGUGGAGACGGGGUUUCGCUGAGUCGGCCAGCCUGGUCUCCAGCUCCUGACCAUGAGUGAUCCGCCAGCCUCAGCCUCCUGAGGUGCCGGGAUUGCAGACGGAGUCUCGUUCACUCAGUGCUCAGUGGUGCCCAGGCUGGAGUGCAGUGGCGUGAUCUUGGCUCGCUACAACCUCCACCUCCCAGCCGCCUGCCUUGGCCUCCCAAAGUGCCGAGACUGCAGCCUCUGCCCGGCCGCCACCCCAUCUGGGAAGUGAGGAGCGUCUCUGCCUGGCCGCCCAUCAUCUGGGAUGUGAGGAGCCCCUCUGCCUGGCUGCCCACUCUGGAAAGUGAGGAGCGUCUCUGCCCGGCCGCCAUCCCAUCUAGGAAGUGAGGAGCGUCUCUGCCUGCCCGCCCAUCCUCUGAGAUGUGGGGAGCGCCUCUGCCCCAAUGCCCUGUCUGGGAUGUGAGGAGCACCUCUGCCCGGCCGCGACCCCGUCUGGGAGGUGAGGAGCGUCUCUGCCCGGCCGCCCCAUCUGAGAAGUGAGGAGACCCUACGCCCGGCAGCCGCCCCAUCUGAGAAGUGAGGAGCCCCUCCGCCCGGCAGCCGCCCCGUCCGGCCAGCCGCCCCGUCCGGGAGGGAGGUGGGGGGGUCAGCCCCCCGCCCGGCCAGCCGCCCCAUCCGGGAGGUGAGGGGCGCUUCUGCCCAGCCGCCCCUACUGGGAAGUGAGGAGCCCCUCUGCCCGGCCACCACCCCGUCUGGGAGGUGUACCCAAUGGCUCAUUGAGAACGGGCCAUGAUGACAAUGGUGGUUUUGUGGAAUAGAGGAGGGGGAAAGGUGGGGAAAAGAUUGAGAAAUCGGAUGGUUGCUGUGUCUGUGUAGAAAGAAGUAGACAUGGGAGACUUUUCACUUUGUUCUGUACUAAGAAAAAUUCUGCCUUGGGAUCCUGUUGAUCUAUGACCUUACCCCCAACCCUGUGCUCUCUGAAACAUGUGCUGUGUCCACUGAGGGUUAAAUGGAUUAAGGGUGGUGCAAGAUGUGCUUUAUUAAAUAGAUGCUUGAAGGCAGCACGCUCGUUAAGAGUCAUCACCACUCCCUAAUCUCAAGUACCCAGGGUCACAAACACUGCGGAGGGCCGCAGGGUCCUCUGCCUAGGAAAACCAGAGACCUUUGUUCACUUGUUUAUCUGCUGACCUUCCCUUCACUAUUGUCCUAUGACCCUGCCAAAUCCCCCUCUGUGAGAAACACCCAAGAAUGAUCAAUAAAAAAAUAAAUAAAUAAAAGAACUACUCAUGUAACCAAAUACCACCUGUACCCCCAAUAAUUUAUGGAAAAAUAAUAAUUAAAAAGUAAAAAAAUUAAAAAAAAAAGAAAUGUCCUAUGUUUUCACAGAUUAUAUAAUUUCAUAUUAAGGACAUAAAACAAUGCAGAGGACUCUCUCCCCAUACGAACUUUACUGUUCCCAGAAUGGAGCCCCUCUGGGCUCUUUUCUCUGGACUCUCUUCCCAGAUGCAGAGUGCUGCUCUCUAAGCCUUGGGAACAGAGAAACUUUGUUCAGUUCCUGCUGUCAACAUUGGGGCCACUUCCUCUGCGUAAUAUCCUUCAUUAGGACAAUCCUCUUUUAAAAGUGUUUUCUAUUUUGGUCUUUGAUUCUAACAAAUUAUACCUGACAUAGAUGGAACAGAUAUAUUCCCUGACUUUCAGAUUAUCAAACUGAGGUUCAGAAGGACUUGGUGACUGCCCCCAAAGUUCAACAGCUCUUAUGUACUAAAUCAUGGACAAGUAACUCCUGAUCCCUGCCUCAAAGGCUCAGUAUUCUUUCACUUAAAAAAAAAACAAACCAUAGGAAACCUGCAGGCAGCAGCAUCGCCUAUGAUUCAAAGGCAAAAUAAUGAAAUCUGUGAGGAUCAAUGUCGGGGCUCUCCCUUCCCAGGGAGGCUCCUGAAAUCCUUUCCCGGCAUCAUGUACUCUGAGGACUGGCCAUCUCAUCAACGACCUGCCCCCAUUCUCCUUUAGGUGCUCUGCCUCCCAGCAAUUCCAUGGCCUUGGAAGCUACCUUACCUCGAUUUGGGGUUGUCUGACUCUCAUCCCCCAAGACAUCUUCUUCUCCUCCAUAGGUACGGAUGGGUGAAGGUGCAUUGGAAUGCUUUUGAAUCAGGCUCUCCACACUUUCCCUAGGUUAGAGUGACAUAUCACAGGUUAACUAAAAUGUAAAGGACUCAGAGAUAGAGAGAGGUCUUAGAGGUAACUCACUAAUCAGUAAAACCAUUUUCUCAGCCAAAAAGCAACCACUGCACAGAAAGAUGAAAUUCAAAACAUGUACAUUUAUUCUGUUGUACAGUGACUCCUCAGAGACAUGACCUCAGGUGUAUGACUGCAAGCAAACAUCACUGACUAGGACAAGGACAAUCCCCUGAAAUACUUUAAAAUGAAGGACAAAGGGGUGAACAGGAGCUAUGAAACCUGACCACAGGAAUAUGGAAUUCCAUGAUGUGAAAAAUAAUGAGUGAAUGAAUUUACUGCAAGGAGCUGCAAUGACUCUUCUUACUGACUUCAUCAGCUAACAAAUACAAAACCAAUACUCAGUUGAUACAAAUUGCACUGAUCCAACAACCGAUGAAAUGUUGGCAAAAAGUUCAAAUUAUCUUUAGUCAGCGAAAGACUCUAAUAUUUACCAAGAAAUCAAACAAAUUCAUAGAUUAUAGUACAAUAUAGAUAGUUUGGAUAAUGAACACUAAGAUCCUUGUUGCUGUAAGACUGAAAAUUACAAAAAACCCAUGAAGAAAACACAAAUGACCAAUAAGGAGUUUUAGCCUCUAGGUAAAUUGGUAUAUUGUCUUGUAGAUGGUCUUCCUCCUGUAACAUAGUCUAUCAACCAAACAGUGAGGUUAACUUUAAAAAAUAAAAAAAAUAUUUUGGCAUUGGACAAUUUGACCUUCUGCUUUAAAAAAAAAAAAAAAAAGCCAGUACAAUUUUAGCCAAUUUGUUUGCCAAAAGUGCAUACUGAUAACAGAUUAGUCUGCAUGGUACACAUUUCUGGAACAGCUGUGGCCCAAAGACCAAUGCCAAAUUGACCAGCAAAGGACAAAAGAAGACUUAUAAAAUAUGUGUUAAAUGAGGAAGGACAAACAAAACACCACAUUUCAUAUUGAGGGAAUAAGCAAAGCAAAUAAAAUGUCAUAAUAACUUUUUAAAAUGUCAAUACUUGUCAACAUUUCACGUAAAUAUGCAAACUUUACCUGUGAAAAAUUACUACCUAAUUCAUAGUAAAUUUGGUGUUGUAGAAAGCUUAUAUACCCACAUAGAUGAACGCAUUUUAUAAUAUAUAGUAUGACUAUGACUAUGAGGACUUAAGGAUAUGCGUAAAAGGAAAAUUAACUCCGCAACUAUUUAAGUUACAUCUCUAUUCUCAAAUUGUUUUAGAGUAAGAAUAAAGUACCACCUCUUAUAGUCAAAAUAAUUAGGAUCCAGAUCCACUGCAAAAAGGUGUCAAAAAGAAUGAUGUCAUUCCGUAUGUAUAGAUAUGGAAUAAUUUUCAAGAUAUAGUAAGUGAAAAAAGUAAAAUACAGAAUGAUAUGUAAAGUAUGCUACCAUUUGUGAAGUUAGAACACAGGAUAUGUAUGUUCAUAUAUGCCUGCAUAUGCACAGGAUUUCUAGAAUGUUCCAGUUUCCAGAACAAGAAACUGCCUAGAAGAGGUUGCCUCUGCAGGGUGAAAUCAGGGACUUGAAGGAUUGGAGUAGUGAUUCUCACAUUUGUGUGUAUGUUUGAGUCAACUAGGGAUCUUGAAACAAACAAACAAAAAAAACUAUAUUGAGAUAUGAUUAAAAUACAAAAAGUGGCACAUAUUUAAAGUGUAUGGGGCCGGAGCCGGGCCAGUGGCUCACGCCUGUAAUCCCAGCACUUAGGGAGGCCCAGGCGGGUGGAUCACCCAAGGUCAGGAGUUCAAGACCAGCCUGGCCAACAUGGCAAAACCCUGUCUCUAUUAAAAAUACAAAAAUCAGCCGGGCAUGUUGGUAGGCACCUAUAAACCCAGCUACUCAGGAAGCUGAGGCAGGAGAAUUGCUUGAACCUGAAGGCAGAGGUUGCAGUGAGCCAAGAUCGUGCCACUUCACUCCAGCCUAGACAAAAGGGUGAAACUCCAUCUUAAAAAAAUAAAAAUAAAGUGUAUAGUUUGAUCAGUUUGGGCAUAUGUACGCACCAGUAACACCAUUGCCACAAGCACAAUAACAAAAAUACCUAACACCUACAAAAGCUAGCUUCCUCAAGCUCCUAUGCUCCAUGGUCCCCAUCGCAACAAACCUUUCCAAGGAAACCACUAAUAUAAUUUCUGUUCUUGCAGAUUAGUCCGCAUUUUCUAAACUUUUACAAAGAUGAAAUCUUACCUAAUAUAUUCUUUUUUAUCUGGCUUCUUUCACUCAGCGUAUUUUAAGAUUUAUCAUGUUGGGGCAUACAUUAAUAUUUCUUGCUCUGAGUAUCAUUAUAUUGCAUGGAUGUAUUAUGGUUUAUUCACUUAUUGAUGGAUAUUUGACUUGUUUCCAGUUUUUGAAUGUUAAAAUGAAGCUGCUACACAUAUUCAUGCAUACUUUUUAACAAAUGGACAUAUACUUUUAUUUAUCUUGGAAAGACAUCUAAGGAUGAAAUGACUAAAUUGCAUAUAUGUGCAAUUUUUAAAGAAACUGCCAAACUAUUUGUCAAAGUAGUCAUACAAUUUAGCAUUCCCACCAUCAGUGUAUGAGAAUUCCAGGUCCUCUGUACUCUCACUGACGCCUGAUAUGGUCAACGUUUAAUUUUAGCUAUUGUAAUAUGCAUGUGCUGGUAUUCCAUCAUACUUUUAAUUGUGUUCCCCUAAUGACUACAAUGUUGAACAUCUUUUUCUGUGCUUAUUUGCUUCCAUAUUUCUAGCUGUUAAUAUCUGUUUAUUUAAAAAAUUAGGUUAUUUGUUUUCUGAGUUUUGAGAUUUCUUUUUAUAUUCUGGGCACUGGUGUUUAUAGAAUAUAUGAUUUGCAAAUAUUUUCUUCUAGGCUGUGGCUUGUGUUUUCUCUCUCCUAAACAGUUUCUUUUUAAAAGCAGAGUUUUUAAUUUUGAUGAAGUGCAAUUUAUCCAUUUGUAAUUCUAUGGAUCAUGCUUUUGGUGCCAUAUUUUAAGAUCUUUGCCUAGCCCAAGACCACAAAAGUUUUCUCCUAGUCUUUUUCUGAAAGUGUUAUAGUGUGAGGUUUUAUGUUUGUGUCUAUGAUUCAUCUUGAGUUAAUUUUAUAUAUGAAUGAGUUAUGAAUUGUUUAUUUUUGUGCUUAUGAAUAUCCCAUUAUUCCAACAUUACUUGUUGAGAAGACUGUCCCUUCUCCAUCACAUACAUGUGGGUCUACUCUUGGACUCUUUAUUCUAUUGAUGUGUUUGUGGAACUUGACACCAAAACUAUACUGUCUUGAUUACUGUAGCUGAAUAAAAUUAUUAGAACUUUUGACAUUAGGUAGUAUUAGUACUCUAUCUUUUUUUCAAAGUUGUUUUGGCUAUUCUAGUUCUUUGCAUUUCCAUAUGAAAUUUAAUAUUACUUUGUCAAUCUCUACAAAAAAAGACUCCUGUGAUUUUGGUCAGGAUUAUUUUAGAUCUACAUAUCAAUUUGUGCAUAACUGACAUCUUAAUAUUGCAUCCUUCAAAUCAUGAACCAGUAUAUCCUUCCGUUUCAUUAGGUCUUCUUUAAUUUCUCUCAGCAAUGUUUUUGUAGUUUUAAGUAUAUAUGUCUUGCAUAUCCUUUCCAGAUUUAUCCCUACUUUGUAUUAUAGUAAAUAUUGCUUUUUAACUUCAAUUUCUGAUAUUCAUUUAUAAUAGAUAGAAAUACAAUUUAUUUUGUAUAUUGAUCUUGUAUUCUGUGAACUUGCCAAACACAUUUGUUCUAGUGGGUUUUGGAGAUUUGGGUUUUCUGUAUAGAUAAUCACGAUGCCUGUACACAAAGAUAGUUUUACUUCUGUCUUUUCA